AGAGUUUGAUCCUGGCUCAGGAUGAACGCUGGCGGCGUGCUUAACACAUGCAAGUCGAACGAUUAAGACGGCUUCGGCCGUGUAUAGAGUGGCGAACGGGUGAGUAACACGUGACCAACCUGCCCCGCGCUCCGGGACAACCGCUGGAAACGGCGGCUAAUACCGGAUGCUCCGGGGAGGCCCCAUGGCCUCCCCGGGAAAGCCCCGACGGCGCGGGAUGGGGUCGCGGCCCAUUAGGUAGACGGCGGGGUAACGGCCCACCGUGCCCGCGAUGGGUAGCCGGACUGAGAGGUCGACCGGCCACAUUGGGACUGAGAUACGGCCCAGACUCCUACGGGAGGCAGCAGUGGGGAAUUUUGCGCAAUGGGGGGAACCCUGACGCAGCAACGCCGCGUGCGGGAUGAAGGCCUUCGGGUUGUAAACCGCUUUCAGCAGGGAAGACAUAGACGGUACCUGCAGAAGAAGCUCCGGCUAACUACGUGCCAGCAGCCGCGGUAAUACGUAGGGGGCGAGCGUUAUCCGGAUUCAUUGGGCGUAAAGCGCGCGUAGGCGGCCGCCUAAGCGGAACCUCUAAUCCCGGGGCUCAACCUCGGGCCGGGUUCCGGACUGGGCGGCUCGAGUGCGGUAGAGGCAGGCGGAAUUCCCGGUGUAGCGGUGGAAUGCGCAGAUAUCGGGAAGAACACCGAUGGCGAAGGCAGCCUGCUGGGCCGCCACUGACGCUGAGGCGCGAAAGCUGGGGGAGCGAACAGGAUUAGAUACCCUGGUAGUCCCAGCCGUAAACGAUGGACGCUAGGUGUGGGGGGACCAUCCCCCCGUGCCGCAGCCAACGCAUUAAGCGUCCCGCCUGGGGAGUACGGCCGCAAGGCUAAAACUCAAAGGAAUUGACGGGGGCCCGCACAAGCAGCGGAGCAUGUGGUUUAAUUCGAAGCAACGCGAAGAACCUUACCUAGACUUGACAUCUCCUGCAUUACUCUUAAUCGAGGAAGUUCCUUCGGGAACAGGAAGACAGGUGGUGCAUGGUUGUCGUCAGCUCGUGUCGUGAGAUGUUGGGUUAAGUCCUGCAACGAGCGCAACCCCUAUUGUUAGUUGCUACCAUUAAGUUGAGCACUCUAGCGAGACUGCCCGGGUUAACCGGGAGGAAGGUGGGGAUGACGUCAAAUCAUCAUGCCCCUUAUGUCUAGGGCUACACACGUGCUACAAUGGCCGGUACAAAGAGAUGCUAAACCGUGAGGUGGAGCUAAACUAUAAAACCGGUCUCAGUUCGGAUUGUAGGCUGAAACUCGCCUACAUGAAGCUGGAGUUGCUAGUAAUCGCGAAUCAGAAUGUCGCGGUGAAUACGUUCCCGGGCCUUGCACACACCGCCCGUCA
Molecule: ribosomal RNA, 1368 nt
Filed under: uncultured bacterium
Lineage: Bacteria
Description: bacterial SSU rRNA
Rfam family: Bacterial small subunit ribosomal RNA
Source: RNAcentral